GAUGAACGCUAGCUACAGGCUUAACACAUGCAAGUCGAGGGGCAGCAUGGUCUUAGCUUGCUAAGGCCGAUGGCGACCGGCGCACGGGUGAGUAACACGUAUCCAACCUGCCGUCUACUCUUGGACAGCCUUCUGAAAGGAAGAUUAAUACAAGAUGGCAUCAUGAGUCCACAUGUUCACAUGAUUAAAGGUAUUCCGGUAGACGAUGGGGAUGCGUUCCAUUAGAUAGUAGGCGGGGUAACGGCCCACCUAGUCUUCGAUGGAUAGGGGUUCUGAGAGGAAGGUCCCCCACAUUGGAACUGAGACACGGUCCAAACUCCUACGGGAGGCAGCAGUGAGGAAUAUUGGUCAAUGGACGAGAGUCUGAACCAGCCAAGUAGCGUGCAGGAAGACGGCCCUAUGGGUUGUAAACUUCUUUUAUAAAGGAAUAAAGUCGGGUAUGCAUACCCGUUGCAUGUACUUUAUGAAUAAGGAUCGGCU
RNAcentral lists this ribosomal RNA (480 nucleotides) under uncultured bacterium. RNAcentral describes it as "bacterial SSU rRNA". It matches the Rfam family "Bacterial small subunit ribosomal RNA", at positions 28 to 498 of the family's 1533-position model. The record is from RNAcentral.